GAUGAACGCUGGCGGCGUGCUUAACACAUGCAAGUCGAACGGACAGGCCGGGGCUUUGUCUGUUGGACGAGUGGCGAACGGGUGAGUAACACGUGAGCAAUCUGCCCCUGACUCUGGGAUAAGACCUGGAAACAGCGGCUAAUACUGGAUACGAGCUGCUGAAGCAUCUUGAGCAGUUGGAAAGAACGGCGGUAAGGGAUGGGCUCGCGGCCUAUCAGCUUGUUGGUGAGGUAGUGGCUGACCAAGGCUUCGACGGGUAGCCGGCCUGGGAGGGUGACCGGCGACAAUGGGACUGCGAGACGGCGCAGACUCCAACGGGAGGCAGCAGUGGGGAAUUUUGCACAAUGGGCGAAAGCCUGAUGCAGCAACGCCGCGUGCGGGAAGACGGCCUUCGGGUUGUAAACCUCUUUUUGCGGAGAAGAAGCGAAAGUGACGGUACCUGCUGAAAAAGCGCCGGCUAACUACGUG
This 468-nucleotide ribosomal RNA is filed under the name uncultured bacterium. RNAcentral's name for it is "partial 16S ribosomal RNA". It matches the Rfam family "Bacterial small subunit ribosomal RNA", at positions 28 to 507 of the family's 1533-position model. The record is from RNAcentral.